This 223-nucleotide long non-coding RNA is filed under the name Elaeis guineensis (African oil palm). Its description in RNAcentral is "long non-coding RNA (EGUI_LNC068514)". Lineage: Eukaryota; Viridiplantae; Streptophyta; Magnoliopsida; Arecales; Arecaceae. The record is from RNAcentral.
AUCAAUCCAACAACUGCUGUUCGUUGUCGAUUUAUAAGAAGAUUUUCUACACGAUCGGACAGUCAAAAAUGAAUCCAUCAUGAGAUCCGAUGGCUGAGGAUGCUCCCGACUAAGAAUAAGAGAUUAUCAGUGUGAUCUGACAGUCUAGAACCAAUCCCAGGCAUGAUCGAACGGUUGUGGUUCGAUCUGACUUUAAUAAGGAUUAAAACUAGGGAUUUUGGGC